This 557-nucleotide ribosomal RNA is filed under the name uncultured bacterium. RNAcentral describes it as "bacterial SSU rRNA". It matches the Rfam family "Bacterial small subunit ribosomal RNA", at positions 367 to 916 of the family's 1533-position model. The record is from RNAcentral.
UUCNAUGGGGGCACCCUGACGCAGCAACGCCGCGUGAGCGAGGAAGGCCUUCGGGUCGUAAAGCUCUGUCUAGUGGGAAAAAAGUCUUCCGGUAAAUAGUCGGAAGAUCUGAUGGUACCGCUGGAGGAAGCACCGGCUAACUCCGUGCCAGCAGCCGCGGUAAUACGGAGGGUGCAAGCGUUGUUCGGAAUUAUUGGGCGUAAAGGGCGUGUAGGCGGUUUGGUAAGUCAGAUGUGAAAGCCCUGGGCUUAACCCAGGAAGUGCAUUUGAAACUACCAUUCUUGAGUAUGGGAGAGGAGAGUGGAAUUCCCAGUGUAGAGGUGAAAUUCGUAGAUAUUGGGAGGAACACCCGUGGCGAAGGCGACUCUCUGGACCAAUACUGACGCUGAUACGCGAAAGCGUGGGGAGCAAACAGGAUUAGAUACCCUGGUAGUCCACGCCGUAAACGAUGAGAACUAGGUGUAGCGGGUAUUGACCCCUGCUGUGCCGUAGCUAACGCAUUAAGUUCUCCGCCUGGGGAGUACGGCCGCAAGGCUAAAACUCAAAGGAAUUGACGA